Molecule: non-coding RNA, 1615 nt
Organism: Phoenix dactylifera (date palm)
Lineage: Eukaryota; Viridiplantae; Streptophyta; Magnoliopsida; Arecales; Arecaceae
Source: RefSeq, a predicted model, not a curated record
GCAUGUCCCACUCUAUACAUGCAUGCAGGAUUCAUAUCUUUAUGCUGCUACCGAGACUAAGCUGAACAGUAGAUACUUCAAGAGGUGAAGACUACAUAUCAAUUUUGAUGUUACAUUCCCAUCCCUUGCUUGUUCACUUCUUAGUGUUGAUACCAUGGAUAUCAGUGGAGAGCGUCAUUAUGAUAUAAGACAUGACAUAAUAAAGAAAAGGAUUGAUCAUCUUGGUAAUGUAAUUGAAUCGAGACAGGAUGGCGUUGGCGCACCCAAGAUUGAAAAGCCAUUACAGCGGCAUGGCGGCAGGCUUGAUCAUAAUGAGACUUAUUGUGGUUCAUGCUAUGGUGCAGAGGUGUUAGAUGAUGCUUGCUGCAACUCUUGUGAAGAUGUUCGUGAAGCUUAUCGAAAGAAAGGGUGGGGCUUGACUAAUCUGGAUCAAAUUGACCAGUGCAAGAGAGAGGGCUUCAUCCAGAGGAUUAAAGAUGAAGAAGGUGAAGGAUGCAACAUGAAUGGGCUCCUGGAAGUCAAUAAAGUAGCUGGAAAUUUUCACUUUGCCCCUGGAAAAAGCUUCCACCAGUCUAACAUUUUUCUGCAAAAUUUAUUAGGCUUUCAAACAGAAAAUUAUAAUAUAAGCCAUAAAAUAAACAAACUAUCCUUUGGGAAAGAGUUCCCUGGUGUUGUAAAUCCACUUGAUGGAGCACAGUGGACACAUCAAACUCCAUUUGGGAUGUAUCAAUAUUUUAUCAAAGUUGUUCCUACAAUCUAUACUGACAUUAGAGGACGCAAAAUUUACUCAAACCAGUUUUCAGUAACAGAGCACUUCAGAGAUGCAGAUGUUUAUCCUAAGCCCCCUUCAGGAGUAUACUUUAUUUAUGACUUCUCACCAAUUAAGGAUUGAUGGACUGACCAUUCUGGAUCAGCCCACUUUGGAAUAGUCAAUACUCAAAAUCUUAGCUAACAGUUUCGUCAAAUAGUAUUUAUUAGAUAGGUGAUUUUUACUGAAGAAAAUAAAUCACUCCUGCAUGUCUUGACAAAUAUCUGCGCUAUAAUCGGAGGUGUUUUCACAGUAGCUGGAAUUGUUGAUGCUUUUCUCUAUCAUGGCCAUCGGGUGAUCAAGAAGAAGAUGGAGCUCGGUAAGCAUAGGUGAUUUACUAGGGGCUAAGGAGAUAUAUUCUAGUAUUCCAGCCUUUAGGAUGACAUUUUGAAUCAUUCAAUGAGAUACAAUCAGAAAGUGCAGAAGCAGUUGGCAUCGGGGUAAUGAAGCUAAAACCUUGAGAUUAAGCUGACGCCCCAUUGUUAAGUUUGGUACUCCUUUCAAUGUCAUUAUGUCUGUGAGUAGUAUUUGUCAAGUUACUUAAAAGAAAAUAUAUCUACAGCAGAAGUGAUCCCUUUGUUUCCCCCUUUCUACAUGAUCAUUUUGGGUUUCUGAAGUCUGAGCAGUUCAUUUCUUUCCAUCACUUUACAAGAGAUGAGGGGCCCUUGUGCUGUUUUGAUGAACUAUAUUAGAUUAUGGAUACAUGGGGGAUGUAUUGCACUUGGAAAGAUAUCAUAUGAAUGUACUCCCACCUGUUUCCAACAUUCUAUCAUUGUCAACCCAAAUGGUUUGCUGGUUGAGCAUUUA